RNAcentral lists this long non-coding RNA (3903 nucleotides) under Gallus gallus (chicken). The record is from RNAcentral. Lineage: Eukaryota; Metazoa; Chordata; Aves; Galliformes; Phasianidae.
CGGUGGUUGGAGCAGGUGAAAUGGUGGUAGAUGCAGUAGUUACAUUGGCAACAGUAGGCAGAACAGUAGGUGCAGCAGUAGGUGUAUCAGCAUAACACCUAGACUCUUUUUUACUAAUUGUGCCAUUUUGAACAAAAGGCUGCAUAGUAACAUUCCAGAAAAUCUGUGUUACGUUUUCUGCUUCCAAAGAGGUAGUAUGAUGACACACAAAGACAUUAUUCAGUUGAAUUGGAUGCAUAGCGUCCUUUACAACAAUUGUAACUGGUCCUUGUCUCCUAGCAUCAGGAAAGACAGCAGUAUCAUUGGUGUUGUAGGUAAAUGUGAUAAACUCAGCCCGAUAAGUUUCGUUGUUUUUUGUGAAGUUAAUGCUCCAAGAGUGACCAUCUCCAAACUGCACUGCCAGAAGUGCAGCUUGUGUGUCACUGCCACAGAUGCUUCCGUUGUGUGUCACAGUGGAUGUCAAAUCCAAGCUUGCAUUUUUAUAAUCACUACUGUUUGUUUCAUAUUUUAUCAAGAAUUUCAUCAUCCAUUGUGCGUACAAGCAUGUAAAAUUAGAGGCAUCCUUUACAUCUACUUCCACUGCAUAGGACUGGAAAAAACCGCAGGCACCGAGGAGGAGCAGCAGCAGCGCGAGACCGGCGGGGCAGCGCGGCGGUGCCAUACUGCCGGCCGAGGGGCUCUUCCGAGGGGCAGGCGGGCGCGGCAACAGCGUCGACAUCGCUCCACUUUCCAAGCUGUGCAGUGGCAUGGGGACUCACUGAGAUCCGGGCACCUGCAUGAAGAACGGCGUUGCCCAGCACAGCCUGGCAGCAGAGCGCUUCAGCUGCGGCUGUUACUGGGGAAGCAUGACGGCCACAGCUCUGAAACAAUCACUUUCUAUCUCAACUGUGUGAAAGCUGCGCUUCACCCCCGCUCAGAGCAGAUGGCGGCGUUUCUGAGCUGCUGCUUUUCUGGAGGAGGUGGUGAUGGGAAACCAAACCAUUAAAUGCUGCUGGGCCAGCAAACUGCUGAGUCAAGACUGGGGCAAUCACGUGGAAUGCCAAAAAAAGAAACCUUUGUGCUGAGGUGAAGGGAUCGGAGCCCAGGCUGCAGCGGGCGGCUGCAGUGUUUCCUGCAAAAGCCCACUGAGAGCUCACGCUGUGACACAGCUGGAAAAACAUGUUCCCAGCCUGCACGCAGAAGCAAAGAGACAAUGGUGGCCCCGGAUGCCUACCAGUAGUUACGCUGUAACAGUGUCAAAGGUUAAGGCAGAUUUUCUGCAGAUCAUGUAAAGAACUGUACUACAGUUACUAGAGGGUGACAGUAAGUAAUUCAGUAGGAGAAAAAAACCACCUGCUCCAUCUGUCAACUGAGGACUGCAUACAAAGAAGCCUGAGAAAACUUCCCAACAAGAAAAUACAGAAUUAAACAAUGGACCAAAAAAGCAGUAAGGAUGGGAGACAUCCAAUACAAAACAGACACACACACCCCCUCUCUCACAUGUAGGCCCCUGAAAGUGGGAUCACAGUGAUAAAAGUUAGAGAUCAUAGAGCGGUGUGAAAGACAUCUGUCAUAUCAGGGGACUCUCCUCUUCAGACCCAGAGUCAAAUGGAAUUAUGAAGACCAGAUACUUUCUUGCAGCUUCCUGCACAUCUUACUAAAUAACAUGCAAAGAGUUCAACAGCAUUCUUCUUAAAAUGUAAAUAGUACUCUUUAAAUGGGCAUGUUAACCACUGAAAGAAGUCCACUCUACUAUACUCCUCCAUUACACUGCUUUCAUUCAGUCAUCGGUAGUAUAAAAAGUCAAUUAACGGGAUUAACAGGCUAGUUUAUCCACUGGCAAUUGCGUAUGACACCAAGUGUGCAGUAAAACAAAGGCCAACAUAUGUUUACGCAAUAUAGUUGUACUGAUUUGGGUUUUCUUUAUCUCUUUCCAUGUAGUCUCUGUCAAUUAAGGAUUCUAUUCUCUUCUUAAGGUCAGCAGGCUGUAAAUUAAAGCAGAUGUCAGCAUUAUUAUUUUGUAGUCGACGCUUCUCAAUCCUACCUAAGCCAAAUAUCCAUACUGCUUGAGAUGACUGAUGAACCAUAUUAUAACUUACAUCUCUCAACACAUCAAAGCUUCUUAAACUUGCAGUGUGCAAUUAAAGAGAAAGUUACAAGAUUAGACAGAAUGCACCAUAUAUCUGAGCUCAGAUGUUAUCACAGAAUCACAGAAUCUAUGUUAUCUAAGCUAUGUCACUGUCUUUUGGAAAAUCAGUUUGCACUUGUACACAGUAAGCUAUUCUUUCUCAUAUUGCAUCUGUUACUACUAACAAACUCCCAGUUCUGAAAACCUUUACUAUGUUGUACUAAUGAAGAGGUUAACAUUCAGAUAAACUAAUGAAACCGACACUUUAAAAAAUCCUGAAAUUACGUACUUUUUGUUCCUUCUAUCAGGAAAGGGAACACAUGUUUCAGAUAGAAGCACUGUUUAACUGAGAACAGGUCAAGGAAUGUGAAGAGAGGUAAUACAUUUUGAAAACAAAAGAAAUCAGUACUACACCUUUACUGGGAAUUUAAGCUGGUUGUAGACCUCUGACACAAGCAAGUUAUGACUCAGUGUUUUUCGCAUCUUCAUAAUUCGAACAAUAGCGGCAUCAAUCUGGUAUUGCCGGUCCUGGAAUACUCUCUCUGUAGUGCUUGCCUGUUCCUCUACCGUUUCUUUCAUCUGAAUUUGGUUGAUUUUUAUCCUGAACAGCUUAUGUCUGAAAUCAUCAUUGCAUGUGAAUUUAUCACCAUCUUCCACAUCUUUUCCUUUGGGGCUCUUUGUCAGUACUCUAGCUUUGCCACAAGCCAGAGACUGAAGUGUCCUUCGCAGCUCUCCAUCCUCUAUCCCAGUGGCUUGCUUUAUCUCCUCUAGACUGAACUCCUCUCCUUCAUUAAACAUGAGCAGCACUAGUGUCUGGAACAAGGAGACCUGAAGUUCUUUUUUGCCCUCUUUAAAUUCUGCUUUUAGCACACAGUGUCCUAGAGUUGACUGCCACUGAAGUUUCCUACCACUGUGUUUUCCUAAGUAAAAGGUUUUGAAAAUCUCCUGCAGUUUUACCAUCUCUGGGGGAAGGUGGACCUCCAUAGGCACAUAGGUUGGCCAAUAACCCAUAGUCAAGAUAUUCACUGUUAGUUCAAUAUUGCCAGGUACAUUCUGAUUUUGCAUAUACUGUUUAAAUUGUAUCAUUAUGUCUUUUGAAAGCUCCAUAUCUUUAAACAUUCCUUCAAGUUUGCUUGUGAAAGCAGCUCCACAUUCAUGUUUGAGUUUGGAAAGCAUAGAUUUUUCAGCAUCUACUGAAGCACUCUUCCCAACUAAUAGUCUCUUCGCUAGAUCUUUUUUAUAGAAGGCCUCAAACACAUCUUUUCCAUAUAUGAAUCUAAAUAUGAUCAUAAUUUUAUCCAGCAUUUUUUCAAGUUCUUCAUCAGUAGCUUCUUUGUUGCCUGCCCGAAGCUUUGAAUCUACAUAUUUAGCUAUGAGUUCAGCUGGCUUAUUUGGUCUUUUGUUAAUGAAUGUUUCAAAGGCUUCUUUCAUGGCGUUUACAAACUUCUCAUUCUUGAGAAAGCAAACAUCAAUAAUAUGGUCGACCUUAUCUUUAAAAUCAAGCAGUUCUUGGACCAUGGUUUUGUCUUUUUCUGGAUUAAUUACUAUGGUGCUACCAAAUGCCUUUAUGUACUCAAUCCAGUGUUGCAAGAGAACUUGCACUCCACCUCUCACACGACUGAAUAACUGAUACAGAAGGGACAGGUCUUGAAUUCGGUUUUCAUCCAGAAGGUGGUUUAAACCUUUCUGGAGAAUGGCUGUUAAAUGUUCACCUAGAAGUUGCUUUUCUACAGUAGCAAUUAGUGGCUUCUGCGUGCUCUGAUCCAAGUAAGUGAUUAUCCUGUCUGCUUCUUCUU